UAGUGCAAUGGCAUAAGCCCGCUUGACUGCGAGAAUGACAAUUCGAGCAGGUACGAAAGUAGGUCAUAGUGAUCCGGUGGUUCUGAAUGGAAGGGCCAUCGCUCAACGGAUAAAAGGUACUCCGGGGAUAACAGGCUGAUACCGCCCAAGAGUUCAUAUCGACGGCGGUGUUUGGCACCUCGAUGUCGGCUCAUCACAUCCUGGGGCUGAAGUCGGUCCCAAGGGUAUGGCUGUUCGCCAUUUAAAGUGGUACGCGAGCUGGGUUUAGAACGUCGUGAGACAGUUCGGUCCCUAUCUGCCGUGGGCGUUGGAUGAUUGAGAGGGGCUGCUCCUAGUACGAGAGGACCGGAGUGGACGAACCUCUGGUGUUCGGGUUGUCACGCCAGUGGCAUUGCCCGGUAGCUAAGUUCGGAAUUGAUAAGCG
This 424-nucleotide ribosomal RNA is filed under the name Enterovibrio norvegicus FF-162. Its description in RNAcentral is "bacterial LSU rRNA". It matches the Rfam family "Bacterial large subunit ribosomal RNA", at positions 2347 to 2770 of the family's 2925-position model. Lineage: Bacteria; Pseudomonadati; Pseudomonadota; Gammaproteobacteria; Vibrionales; Vibrionaceae. The record is from RNAcentral.